Molecule: ribosomal RNA, 492 nt
Filed under: uncultured bacterium
Lineage: Bacteria
Description: partial 16S ribosomal RNA
Rfam family: Bacterial small subunit ribosomal RNA
Source: RNAcentral
AGUGAACGCUGGCGGUAGGCCUAACACAUGCAAGUCGAACGACAGCACAGUAAGAGCUUGCUCUUACGGGUGGCGAGUGGCGGACGGGUGAGGAAUACAUCGGAAUCUACUUUUUCGUGGGGGAUAACGUAGGGAAACUUACGCUAAUACCGCAUACGACCUACGGGUGAAAGCAGGAGAUCUUCGGACCUUGCGCGUUUGAAAGAGCCGAUGUCGGAUUAGCUAGUUGGCGGGGUAAAGGCACACCAAGGCGACGAUCCGUAGCUGGUCUGAGAGGAUGAUCAGCCACACUGGAACUGAGACACGGUCCAGACUCCUACGGGAGGCAGCAGUGGGGAAUAUUGGACAAAGGGCGCAAGCCUGAUCCAGCCAUACCGCGUGGGUGAAGAAGGCCUUCGGGUUGUAAAGCCCUUUUGUUGGGAAAGAAAAGCAGCAGGUUAAUACCCCGCUGUUCUGACGGUACCCAAAGAAUAAGCACCGGCUAACUUCGUG